RNAcentral lists this long non-coding RNA (389 nucleotides) under Parus major (Great Tit). Its description in RNAcentral is "lncRNA (ENSPMJG00000016169.1)". The record is from RNAcentral. Lineage: Eukaryota; Metazoa; Chordata; Aves; Passeriformes; Paridae.
GGUAAACCUGAAGCCUGUGGAGGUAUAUCUGAGAAAUUCAGACAUCACCAGGACAUGACAGUUUUUUUGCAGGAAGGAUCUGAGUGACCAAACACUAAAGUGACAGAUGAAGUCCCAUUCUGCACACAAAGUAUUGCCAAAGACAAAACUAAUGUUUAAACAAGUGGUUUACAGCAAACAGAGUAAUAGGCAGAACUUCUGAGUCCUUUUAGCUCAGUAAAGUAAGUGGGAACUCUGCAUAACACUACUCAGUUCAGCAUUAUUUCAUAUUUUUCAGCAUAUGUCUGCUGCACCAAAAUCUGCAUGGUAAUGAUUUUGUCUGCUACAUGUUGGCUGCAUUUCUUUUUUUCCCCCAAAGGGCUGAAGGUUAUAUAUUUGCUUCAAUCCAA